Molecule: unclassified non-coding RNA, 336 nt
Filed under: soil metagenome
Description: partial contains 5.8S ribosomal RNA, internal transcribed spacer 2, and large subunit ribosomal RNA
Rfam family: 5.8S ribosomal RNA (bases 1-120)
Source: RNAcentral
GAUGAAGAACGCAGCGAAAUGCGAUAAGUAAUGUGAAUUGCAGAAUUCAGUGAAUCAUCGAAUCUUUGAACGCACAUUGCGCCCGCCAGUAUUCUGGCGGGCAUGCCUGUUCGAGCGUCAUUUCAACCAUCAAGCCCCCGGCUUGUGUUGGGGACCUGCGGCUGCCGCAGGCCCUGAAAAGCAGUGGCGGGCUCGCUGUCACACCGAGCGUAGUAGAUUUCAUCUCGCUCAGGGCGUGCUGCGGGUUCCGGCCGUUAAACCACCUUCAUAACCCAAGGUUGUCCUCGGAUCAGGUAGGAAGACCCGCUGAACUUAAGCAUAUCAAUAAGCGGAGGA